CCUUACCUGGCCUUGACAUCCAGAGAACUUUCCAGAGAUGGAUUGGUGCCUUCGGGAACUCUGAGACAGGUGCUGCAUGGCCGUCGUCAGCUCGUGUCGUGAGAUGUUGGGUUAAGUCCCGUAACGAGCGCAACCCCUAUCCCUGGUUGCUAGCAGGUAAUGCUGAGAACUCCAGGGAGACUGCCGGUGACAAACCGGAGGAAGGUGGGGAUGACGUCAGGUCAUCAUGGCCCUUACGGCCAGGGCUACACACGUGCUACAAUGGCGCGUACAGAGGGCUGCCAACUCGCGAGAGUGAGCCAAUCCCUUAAAACGCGUCGUAGUCCGGAUCGGAGUCUGCAACUCGACUCCGUGAAGUCGGAAUCGCUAAAAUGGCGAAUCAGAAUGUCGCGGUGAAUACGUUCCC
RNAcentral lists this ribosomal RNA (406 nucleotides) under uncultured bacterium. Its description in RNAcentral is "bacterial SSU rRNA". It matches the Rfam family "Bacterial small subunit ribosomal RNA", at positions 969 to 1375 of the family's 1533-position model. The record is from RNAcentral.